RNAcentral lists this ribosomal RNA (489 nucleotides) under uncultured bacterium. RNAcentral describes it as "partial 16S ribosomal RNA". It matches the Rfam family "Bacterial small subunit ribosomal RNA", at positions 30 to 507 of the family's 1533-position model. The record is from RNAcentral.
AUUGAACGCUGGCGGCAGGCCUAACACAUGCAAGUCGAACGGUAACAGGAAACAGCUUGCUGUUUCGCUGACGAGUGGCGGACGGGUGAGUAAUGUCUGGGAAACUGCCUGAUGGAGGGGGAUAACUACUGGAAACGGUAGCUAAUACCGCAUAACGUCGCAAGACCAAAAAGGGGGCCUUCGGGCCUCUUGCCAUCGGAUGUGGCCAGAUGGGAUUAGCUAGUAGGUGGGGUAACGGCUCACCUAGGCGACGAUCCCUAGCUGGUCUGAGAGGAUGACCAGCCACACUGGAACUGAGACACGGUCCAGACUCCUACGGGAGGCAGCAGUGGGGAAUAUUGCACAAUGGGCGCAAGCCUGAUGCAGCCAUGCCGCGUGUAUGAAGAAGGCCUUCGGGUUGUAAAGUACUUUCAGCGGGGAGGAAGGGAGUAAAGUUAAUACCUUUACUCAUUGACGUUACCCGCAGAAGAAGCACCGGCUAACUCCGUG